Molecule: ribosomal RNA, 481 nt
Filed under: uncultured bacterium
Lineage: Bacteria
Description: partial 16S ribosomal RNA
Rfam family: Bacterial small subunit ribosomal RNA
Source: RNAcentral
AUUGAACGCUGGCGGCAUGCCUUACACAUGCAAGUCGAACGGUAACGGGCCUUCGGGUGCCGACGAGUGGCGAACGGGUGAGUAAUACAUCGGAACGUGCCCGAUCGUGGGGAUAACGAGGCGAAAGCUUUGCUAAUACCGCAUACGAUCUACGGAUGAAAGCAGGGGACCGCGAGGCCUUGCGCGGACGGAGCGGCCGAUGGCAGAUUAGGUAGUUGGUGGGAUAAAAGCUUACCAAGCCGACGAUCUGUAGCUGGUCUGAGAGGAUGAUCAGCCACACUGGGACUGAGACACGGCCCAGACUCCUACGGGAGGCAGCAGUGGGGAAUGUUGGACAAUGGGCGCAAGCCUGAUCCAGCCAUGCCGCGUGCAGGAUGAAGGCCUUCGGGUUGUAAACUGCUUUUGUACGGAACGAAAAGCCUUCUUUUAAUACAGGAGGGUCAUGACGGUACCGUAAGAAUAAGCACCGGCUAACUACGUG